UCCCGGUGGGGGUAACUCUGCCGGGGGAAGUGGCGAAAGGGGCAGUAAGGCGUAGGUAACCUACCCGGGGGACGGGGAUAGCCCUUCUAACGAAGGGGUAAUACCCGGCGAUCUGGCCGAGAGACAUCUCUUGACCAGGAAAGGAGUUUCGCCUCCGGAGGGGCUUACGUAGUAUUAGCUUGUUGGCGGGGUAACGGCCCACCAAGGCCAAGAUGCUUAGCAGGUGUGAGAGCACGACCUGCGCCACUGGCACUGAGACACUGGCCAGACUCCUACGGGAGGCUGCAGUCGAGGAUCUUCGGCAAUGGGCGCAAGCCUGACCGAGCGACGCCGCGUGUGCGAUUGAAGGCCUUCGGGUUGUAAAGCACUGUCGAGGGGGAGAAAAGCCCCGCAAGGGGUCUGAUCUAUCCCUGGAGGAAGCACGGGCUAAGUUCGUGCCAGCAGCCGCGGUAAGACGAACCGUGCGAACGUUGUUCGGAAUCACUGGGCUUAAAGGGCGCGUAGGCGGGCAUCCAAGUCAGUGGUGAAAUCCACCGGCCUAACCGGAGAAGAGCUGUUGAUACUGGGUGCCUCGAGUGGUGCAGGGGUCUGCGGAACUUCCGGUGGAGCGGUGAAAUGCGUAGAGAUCGGAAGGAACGCCGGUGGCGAAAGCGGCGGACUGGGCACCUCCUGACGCUGAGGCGCGAAAGCCAGGGGAGCAAACGGGAUUAGAUACCCCGGUAGUCCUGGCCCUAAACGAUGGGUACUAGGUUGAAGGCUUACAUGGGCUUUCAGCCGGAGCAAAAGUGUUAAGUACCCCGCCUGGGGAGUAUGGUCGCAAGGCUG
RNAcentral lists this ribosomal RNA (825 nucleotides) under uncultured Planctomycetota bacterium. RNAcentral's name for it is "bacterial SSU rRNA". It matches the Rfam family "Bacterial small subunit ribosomal RNA", at positions 68 to 896 of the family's 1533-position model. Lineage: Bacteria; Pseudomonadati; Planctomycetota. The record is from RNAcentral.